Molecule: transfer RNA, 80 nt
Filed under: compost metagenome
Description: tRNA-Arg
Source: RNAcentral
UCGCAACUGGGCAACGGCAUUGCCGUGGCCUUCGUCGCCACCAUCUACGGCGUGGCCAGUGCCAACCUGGUGCUGCUACC